Stomoxys calcitrans (stable fly) is the source of this 1325-nucleotide long non-coding RNA. RefSeq lists it as uncharacterized. Lineage: Eukaryota; Metazoa; Arthropoda; Insecta; Diptera; Muscidae. The record is from RefSeq and is a predicted model, not a curated record. The transcript has 2 exons.
CCUAUAUAAGUAGCAAAUUAAACGAAAGCGUAAAUUAACACACACCCCCCUCACCAUAAAAUAUGUCGCACACAAUGUGAAAACAAGGUAUAUUCAAAGCGUAUAGAAUUCCAUAUAAAAAAAAAUAAUAAAAAUAAAAAUUCCAAAAACAAAUCUAAAUAAAAUGGUAAAUAAAUUCAAGCGUAUGUAAAUGACUAAAUUCAAACCCAAUUUAUAAUAAACCCGUCGCCUAACUCUCUCCCUGAGAUUCAGACGGUAAACUAAAUUCAAAAUUCAGGUCCCAAACUAUUAACCUAAUCCUAGAAGUAAUUGCGCUAAAAUCGAACUCAAUCGUAUCGUAUAAAGCGUGAUAUAAAAACGUCCUUGAAAUGUGUAACUAUUUAGAGAUAGGGUUUUCAGGGGACGAUAAGAUGAAAAGUAGGGUAUAUAUUCCAAUAAAACUGACAAAUGCCAGCCUUACUAAAACUUUCUUGAUUCCUUACAGGUUUGUGGGUGCUUCGGAUGAAAUCUAAACUAAUGGAAAGGAAUAUCUCACGCAGACCAUGACCGAAGCGAUGACUGGUGGACACUAGCCGGAGUCUGGGACAGGUGACUAGGAUCACAAACAACCCCCUCGGUCGGACCUAGGCCUUUACCACGCCCGAAAGGACGGCCUCUUCUAGGUACUAAUUUGGAACAAGGAUUCCUAUGGAGACUUCCUACCUGCCUAGAAAGAGCUCUAUCUAUUGGGGAAGGGUAAAUACCAUGUAGUACGGUUGACGGUAUAAUCAAAGAUGAGUACCCUAGAAAAAAAAUGCCUGCCUUUUCAAAAAAAAACUAAUUUCCUUUUUUUUCUUUUAUUUUUAGGUAAUAUGUACGUCCGUCCGUCCGAAGGUUUAGUUUUAAGUAUUAUGUUAAGGGUCUUUGUAAGCCGUCACCUGGAGCACUGCGGUCUGCGAGUGCUUUUGAAGGAAGUCCCACGCUGGUGCAGAGAUGAGCCGUUGGUGAGCAGCGUUUUUUUUUGUUUUACUUUUAAUUAGUUUAAGCUUUAGCGUAAUGAUUAAGUUGUUUUCUUUUUGAUUAAGUUUAUAAUUAAGUUUCUUUUUUUUAGUUGGAAUUUAUUUUUCAAUAAGUGGUUUUAAUUCAGUUUCUUUUUUUUUUUCACUCUUUAGAGCUAGGUAUUAAGGUAGUUUCAAGGAUAGUUUUUAAGGUAAUUUUUAAGGUUGUUUGUUAAUUCAGUUUGUAAGAUGUUUCUUUUUUCCUGUUUAGCUAUCAGAAGCUUUUGUUUUUUUUUCUCUUUUCUUUUUUUUUUUGCAAUAAAGGAAUCGAAUGAUUUUGCUUUGGUC